AAAGAAAGAAAGAAGGAUCAAGGACCUUGGAAUAUAGAGAAAGAUAGAGAUAGCAAUAAGGGAAGUGAGGAGCUGCUUAGCCAGCCAUAGGGCUACCAGGCAGAGAUUAGCAGCCACAGCAAUAGUACAGGGACAGGCUCCCGUGCCCAGGGCACCAUGUGAGAGCCAGGGCAUCCUGCUCCACCUCUUUAUAGCCAGGGAUGUACAAUAGCCAGGUAGCUGUGAGGCUGCAUCCAUGCAUAUUUCAUAUGGACAUGUCUUCCAGCCUGGUAUAGCAGCAGUACAUUGACAUGUGAAUUGGGAGUGAGGGAAGGGGCAUGCAUAGUGGCUGACUGGCAGCAUAUGGCUGCACUAAGCUUAUUAUUCCUGUUAUUGUCAGCAUUCCAUUUGUUUUGCUGUUUGCUGGGGAAAGGCAGGCAUCAGACAGCUGUGGGUGUAACAGGAGGGGAGAGCAGAGAUUGACACAGCAGGCAGGAGGACUGCCCUGGGCUGAGCUCCACCUUGCAAGCCCCGGUGCAAGUAUCAGAGGAAAGGAAGGAGGGAGGGCUGGAGCUGGGACCUGGCUGGUUUGUGGAGGGGAUACCUGGCUGUGAAUGAGGGGAGCCCCUAUGUGGUCACUGAGUGUCACAGCCUCCCCCUAGACUGACUGCCCGAGGCCUGGCCUGAUCUACCUUAAAAACAACGUGGAGCAUCACAGGAAGCCCAGUCACUUCAGAACCAGGAGGGGGACAUUCAGAGGUAAUUGUACUCACUGUCAUUACAGGCACCAGACCAUACACUGCGUGAAUUUGCAUCAUUUUACUACGUUAGCUAGUGAAGCCUAUGGUAUUUACCUAACAAAGAGAUCUAGUAUUGAUGCAUUGUGUAUAGGAGUCAGACAAAUCCCUCUAUAUUACGAUGUUUGUCAUGUUAUUGGUCUUGAAGGGGUUAAGGGGAAAAAAGACACAUUGAAACAGACUGAUCUUAUAAUAGGAGACUACUG
Molecule: non-coding RNA, 982 nt
Organism: Pelobates cultripes (western spadefoot toad)
Lineage: Eukaryota; Metazoa; Chordata; Amphibia; Anura; Pelobatidae
Source: the annotation of a GenBank genome assembly